GGUAUGAAUGGCUAAACGAGAAAUAGACUUUUUUUGUUAUAAAAAUUGAAUUUAAUUUUUCAGUGAAAAAGCUGAAAUUAUUUAGAAAGACGAGAAGACCCUAUAGAGUUUUAUGUUAUACAAUUGUUAUUUAUAGUAGAUUUUUAUUAAAUUAUAAUUUUUUAACAUUUUGUUGGGGCGACAUUAAGAUAUGUAAAACUCUUUAUUUUUUAUAUUUUUAUUGAAAGUUUAUUGAUCCUCUAAAAGAGAUCAGAAGAAAAAAUUACCUUAGGGAUAACAGCGUAAUCUUUUUUGAGAGUUCUAAUCGACAAGAAGGUUUGCGACCU
Molecule: ribosomal RNA, 326 nt
Filed under: Acasta sp. 3 MCY-2020
Lineage: Eukaryota; Metazoa; Arthropoda; Thecostraca; Balanomorpha; Balanidae
Description: partial large subunit ribosomal RNA
Source: RNAcentral